This 36-nucleotide ribosomal RNA is filed under the name Erica tetralix. RNAcentral describes it as "partial 18S ribosomal RNA". The record is from RNAcentral. Lineage: Eukaryota; Viridiplantae; Streptophyta; Magnoliopsida; Ericales; Ericaceae.
GUUUCGUAGGUGAACCUGCGGAAGGAUCAUUGUCGA